AUCGCUUCUCGGCCUUUUGGCUAAGAUCAAGUGUAGUAUCAAAAUGGAUUAAAGACCUAAAUGUAAGACCAAAUACUAUAAAACCCCUA
This is a small nuclear RNA of 89 nucleotides. Its record names the gene U2. It matches the Rfam family "U2 spliceosomal RNA". Rfam says of the family: U2 is a small nuclear RNA (snRNA) component of the spliceosome (involved in pre-mRNA splicing). Complementary binding between U2 snRNA (in an area lying towards the 5' end but 3' to hairpin I) and the branchpoint sequence (BPS) of the intron results the bulging out of an unpaired adenosine, on the BPS, which initiates a nucleophilic attack at the intronic 5' splice site, thus starting the first of two transesterification reactions that mediate splicing. The record is from Ensembl.